Molecule: long non-coding RNA, 114 nt
Organism: Sander lucioperca (pikeperch)
Lineage: Eukaryota; Metazoa; Chordata; Actinopteri; Perciformes; Percidae
Exons: 3
Source: RefSeq, a predicted model, not a curated record
GAUGUUGUCGGGAAGCCUAUUCACUGAAUAUUCCGCCAUCAGAGAUUGCAUUGUAUUGCUGACAGGUGUUUCAAAAUAUCUGGGAACUUUUCCGGACGCCUGUUGCACAAAUCC